UACAGAGGUCCCGAGCGUUGUUCGGAUUCACUGGGCGUAAAGGGCGCGUAGGCGGCCACCGCAAGUCGAUUGUGAAAUCUCCGGGCUUAACUCGGAAAGGUCAACCGAUACUGCGGGGCUAGAGUGCAGAAGGGGCAACUGGAAUUCUCGGUGUAGCGGUGAAAUGCGUAGAUAUCGAGAGGAACACCGGUGGCGAAGGCGGGUCUCUGGGCCGAUACUGACGCUGAGGAGCGAAAGCGUGGGGAGCGAACAGG
This 254-nucleotide ribosomal RNA is filed under the name uncultured bacterium. RNAcentral describes it as "partial 16S ribosomal RNA". It matches the Rfam family "Bacterial small subunit ribosomal RNA", at positions 524 to 776 of the family's 1533-position model. The record is from RNAcentral.